Salvia splendens (bonfire salvia) is the source of this 633-nucleotide long non-coding RNA. RefSeq lists it as uncharacterized. The transcript has 3 exons. NCBI's taxonomy places the organism in Eukaryota, Viridiplantae, Streptophyta, Magnoliopsida, Lamiales, Lamiaceae. The record is from RefSeq and is a predicted model, not a curated record.
AUAAUCUUUGAGGAGGUAACUGAAAAUGUGGACUAUUAUGUCCAAGGAACUACAGUUGCUGCAGGAAAUUUAUUUGGAAGACGUCGAGUUAUCCAAGUAUUUGCUCGUGGUGCUCGGAUACUUGAUGGUGCUUUUAUGACUCAAGAUUUGAGCUUAAAAUCUUCUAAUACAGAGAUGACUGCAGCUUCUGAUGGGGCAACUGUGUCCUCAGUUUCCAUAGCUGAUCCUUAUGUGUUGCUGAGAAUGACUGAUGGAAGCAUUCAGCUUCUUGUUGGAGAUCCAUCCACCUGCUCUGUUUGAGUCAUCAAUCCACCAGUAUCUUAAAACUCUGAUAAGUUGGUAUUAGCUUGCACUCUCUAUCAUGAUAAAGGUCCCGAAUCAUGGAUUUGUAAGACAAGUACUGAUGCUGCCUGGCUUUCUACUGGGAUUAGUGAGGCUAUUGAUGUGGCUGAUGGUUCAACACAUGAAUGGUGACGUGUACUGUGUUCUAUGCUAUGACAAUGGAGAUCUGGAGAUAUUUGAUGUACCUAACUUUAACAGUGUUUUCUUGGUCGAUAAAUUUGUAUUUGGAAGGAGCCACAUCUUAGAUACAUUUUCCAUGGCACAGCAAAUAAUCAUAUAAACCUCACAAAC